AUCAGUUUCUUUUACUGCUUGUUGGGAAAAUCGAUCGAUUGUCGAAGAUGAAAUCCGCUUUGAUCUUCCUGUUUGGAUUUAUUGGAAUUAAUAUCGCUAUGGCGCAGAACGAUGGAAGCGCAGCUGCAACUCAAAACGAUCCUGUGAAAAUGGUUCAACCUUUUAUAG
Molecule: long non-coding RNA, 168 nt
Organism: Centruroides sculpturatus (bark scorpion)
Lineage: Eukaryota; Metazoa; Arthropoda; Arachnida; Scorpiones; Buthidae
Exons: 6
Source: RefSeq, a predicted model, not a curated record